RNAcentral lists this ribosomal RNA (465 nucleotides) under uncultured bacterium. Its description in RNAcentral is "partial 16S ribosomal RNA". It matches the Rfam family "Bacterial small subunit ribosomal RNA", at positions 338 to 795 of the family's 1533-position model. The record is from RNAcentral.
CCUACGGGGUGCAGCAGUGGGGAAUAUUGCGCAAUGGGCGAAAGCCUGACGCAGCGACGCCGCGUGAGGGAUGAAGGUCUUCGGAUCGUUAACCUCUGUCAGCAGGGAAGAACGGUCACUGUGCUAAUCAGCAGUGAAUUGACGGUACCUGCAAAGGAAGCACCGGCUAACUCCGUGCCAGCAGCCGCGGUAAUACGGAGGGUGCGAGCGUUAAUCGGAAUUACUGGGCGUAAAGCGCUCGUAGGCGGUAUGUCAAGUCAAGGGUGAAAUCCCCGCGCUCAACGUGGGAACUGCCUUGGAAACUGGCAAACUGGAGUGUGUGAGAGGAUAGUGGAAUGCCAGGUGUAGGAGUGAAAUCCGUAGAUAUCUGGAGGAACAUCAGUGGCGAAGGCGACUAUCUGGCACAUAACUGACGCUGAGGAGCGAAAGCGUGGGUAGCAAACAGGAUUAGAUACCCGUGUAGUC